UAACACGUAGGCAACCUGCCCACAAGACUGGGAUAACUACCGGAAACGGUAGCUAAUACCCGAUACAUCCUUUUCCUGCAUGGGAGAAGGAGGAAAGGCGGAGCAAUCUGUCACUUGUGGAUGGGCCUGCGGCGCAUUAGCUAGUUGGUGGGGUAAAGGCCUACCAAGGCGACGAUGCGUAGCCGACCUGAGAGGGUGAUCGGCCACACUGGGACUGAGACACGGCCCAGACUCCUACGGGAGGCAGCAGUAGGGAAUCUUCCGCAAUGGGCGAAAGCCUGACGGAGCAACGCCGCGUGAGUGAUGAAGGUUUUCGGAUCGUAAAGCUCUGUUGCCAGGGAAGAACGCCUGGUAGAGUAACUGCUCUUGAAGUGACGGUACCUGAGAAGAAAGCCCCGGCUAACUACGUGCCAGCAGCCGCGGUAAUACGUAGGGGGCAAGCGUUGUCCGGAAUUAUUGGGCGUAAAGCGCGCGCAGGCGGCUCUUUAAGUCUGGUGUUUAAUCCCGAGGCUCAACUUCGGGUCGCACUGGAAACUGGGGAGCUUGAGUGCAGAAAGAGGGAGUGGAAUUCCACGUGUAGCGGUGAAAUGCGUAGAGAUGUGGAGGAACACCAGUGGC
This 618-nucleotide ribosomal RNA is filed under the name Paenibacillus sp. JC243. RNAcentral's name for it is "bacterial SSU rRNA". It matches the Rfam family "Bacterial small subunit ribosomal RNA", at positions 111 to 716 of the family's 1533-position model. Lineage: Bacteria; Bacillati; Bacillota; Bacilli; Caryophanales; Paenibacillaceae. The record is from RNAcentral.